GGGUGCUUAGCUCAGCGGUAGAGCGCCGCCCUUACAAGGCGAUGGUCGCAGGUUCGAUCCCUGCAGCACCCACCA
RNAcentral lists this transfer RNA (75 nucleotides) under Rhodanobacter sp. RNAcentral describes it as "tRNA-Val". It matches the Rfam family "tRNA". From Rfam's summary of the family: Transfer RNA (tRNA) molecules are approximately 80 nucleotides in length. Their secondary structure includes four short double-helical elements and three loops (D, anti-codon, and T loops). Further hydrogen bonds mediate the characteristic L-shaped molecular structure. tRNAs have two regions of fundamental functional importance: the anti-codon, which is responsible for specific mRNA codon recognition, and the 3' end, to which the tRNAs corresponding amino acid is attached (by aminoacyl-tRNA synthetases). tRNAs cope with the degeneracy of the genetic code in two manners: having more than one tRNA (with a specific anti-codon) for a particular amino acid; and 'wobble' base-pairing, i.e. permitting non-standard base-pairing at the 3rd anti-codon position. Lineage: Bacteria; Pseudomonadati; Pseudomonadota; Gammaproteobacteria; Lysobacterales; Rhodanobacteraceae. The record is from RNAcentral. RNAcentral also lists the same sequence under 1 other name.